AAAGCUCCUUAUAAUUGUUUUACACCAGGCAAGGACGGAAACGGAAAUUUGAUGUCAACUUCUUGCGAGGUAUACCCAGCCAUACCCGAUUAUCAGAAGUGGAGAUAUGGAAGGUCAAAAAUCUUCGUAGACAUAGGAGGAAUUGAACAAGAAGCAAGAGAAAUAGUAAACGUGAAAUCUGGAGCGUGCAUGGAUGUUAAUGGCCGUGGUGGAAAUGGUGACAUUUCUGCAUAUCGUUGCGAAAAUCUGGAUGAUCAGUACUUCUACUUCCGCUCUCGGGGUAAGCUAAUGGGACAUGGAAGACUACAAGUUGAGAAAUCUGGAUAUUGUCUGGACGUGGAAGGAGACCAAGGACGUGGCAAUGUUUUAAUAGACAACUGUGAAGACGCUGCUGAUCAGCAUUUCGAUUUUCAUGAAAAUGGCGAAUUAGUUAACAAAAAGUCCGGAUUGUGCGUCAAUAUUGGAG
Non-coding RNA from Paramuricea clavata, 466 nucleotides. The record is from the annotation of a GenBank genome assembly. Lineage: Eukaryota; Metazoa; Cnidaria; Anthozoa; Malacalcyonacea; Plexauridae.